AGGACAUUCAUCAAAAGGCAAAAACAUUUAUGCACUUCUACGUCCUGUCUUCAAGAAAUGGGACAACCACCUGAGUGACACUAAAGAUUCCUUUGAGACAAAAGUGCAGGAAAUGAUAGACAAGUACAACGAGAACCAUCGUGGCAGAGAAUUGCUAACGUUCACUGAGUACACUGAAUUUGAAAACGUCAUCCAAAACCAUGUAGCAGCUCUUCAAGAGCCAGCUAUGGAAACACUGAAAGAUGUGCGAGAUAUUAUUCAAAACAAGUUUAAGGAAG
Long non-coding RNA from Puntigrus tetrazona (Sumatra barb), 278 nucleotides. RefSeq lists it as uncharacterized. The transcript has 3 exons. The record is from RefSeq and is a predicted model, not a curated record. NCBI's taxonomy places the organism in Eukaryota, Metazoa, Chordata, Actinopteri, Cypriniformes, Cyprinidae.